UACGUAGGUCCCGAGCGUUAUCCGGAUUUACUGGGUGUAAAGGGAGCGUAGACGGCAGUGCAAGUCUGGAGUGAAAGGCGGGGGCUCAACCCCCGGACUGCUCUGGAAACUGUACGGCUGGAGUGCAGGAGAGGUAAGUGGAAUUCCUAGUGUAGCGGUGAAAUGCGUAGAUAUUAGGAGGAACACCAGUGGCGAAGGCGGCUUACUGGACUGUAACUGACGUUGAGGCUCGAAAGCGUGGGGAGCAAACAGG
Molecule: ribosomal RNA, 253 nt
Filed under: uncultured bacterium
Lineage: Bacteria
Description: partial 16S ribosomal RNA
Rfam family: Bacterial small subunit ribosomal RNA
Source: RNAcentral